UGGCAGGGCCUCGACACACCCGGCACUGCCUCCGCCCUGCUGGGAGGGAACCUGCUGGGUGCGAGGCCCAGAGGCCGCUUCUUCUCCGUCCAAAGGAUGGCGGGGCUGGACCACAUCUCCCUGUCCAGCUACCUUGGGAAGUGGGGGUGGGGGAACCCCUAGUUUCACUAGUUCCUGGAGGUCCCAGAUCACAGCCCCCACAAUGGGUGUAGAAUUCCUGAGUUCUUCCAGGACACCAGGAAUCGCGGCAACCUGGGGCUCCAAACACUAAACCUAACAGGGCGGACCGCCGACAUCCUCCCCGCCAUUGGUGCUGCCUGUCCGUCCAUUACGUGAGCGACCCAGGAGGUGUGCAGUGGUACUGUGGUUUUCAUCCACAUUUCCUUGGAGGCUGACGAUGCUGGACAUCUUCCCAUGUCUUUAUUGGCCAUUUGUAUAUCUUCUUCACAAAAACGACUCUUCAGGUCCUUUGCCCAUUUUUUAAUUGGGUUACUUGUCUUUUGUUGUAAUCCAACCACUUAAAAAAAAUGAAAUAUUGGAAAGAAUGCUUAGAAUUGUGCCCAGUACGUGUUAAAGACUCAAAAAGAGAAACAGGAAGUAGAAGACAUCAGAGGACGUCCCCCAACCCCGCUCCGCGGGAAGGGCAGACGCUGUUUCAUGAAGCUCCUGUUUCACUCAUACAAAUACAUGUGAGCUGGGUUGCAGGUGAACUGUGUUUCUUACUGGGGAUUGUGCUCAGAAAAGUUCAAGUCCCGCAUUCUAAGGAAUGGACUUAGACGUGAUCUGCUAGGUCACAGAAGACACAGGUUUACUCAGCACAGAUCCAAGAUCCCUCCCCAUGACUCCGAAACCCCCCCCAGAACCCUCUAAAACCACUUUUUCCCGUAGGUUUGCAACAACGCCCUUUGACCCUGAAAACUAACCUAUGGGUUGAGGCUAUUUAAGGUCUAUAUCAGCCCUUUUCGUGUGAAUAUUCACAUUCUACUGCAGAGAAAUCAAAGCGCUGCUUCUGAGCUCACUGGAAGUGGUGAAGUAAAAAUGGUUUCCACACCUUCUACCUUUCAAACCUAAAAAACACACAAACAAAUGAACAGAAACAAAAAGUUCUGAAACACAUCUGGUCUCAACGAUUUCCAACAAGGGCCUGCAGGCAUCUCAUCCAAAAAGCUCCCCGGAUUGGCUGAAGCAAUUUACACUUCCACCAGCAGCAUGAGAGCUCGUUUCCUCCACCUUCGCUCAGACUUGAUACAGGAAAGUUGUGCUGAUCUGAUCCGUGAGAAAAGACAGCGUGUUGCUGUUUUAAUAUGCAUUUCCCUGGUUAUUGAAAAGGGUGCACAGAUCCUCUCACGUGGGUUGGCCAUUUGGAUUUUCUCUUCUGGGAACUGUUCAUUGAUCUGUGACUCUUUUCGGACUUAUUUCUUCAGCUCUCCACAGACGGACUCGAACACCAUAUUCCAGUAAUUCUAAUUUUCAGCUGGUGGAGAGUUUGGAUUCAUUCUCACCCAACUUAUCUUUUUUCCCGAGAUAAUAAUGGUAGAAGAGGAACUAAGGAGUCUCAAAUAAGGGUGCUCUCUGCUGUCGGGGCCCAGGGCAGGCCGCCCUCAAAUAUGCCUCAGUGGCAUAUUGGUUAUUUUGAAUUAAAGUUACUUAAGGAAUAGCUGACACAGAGGGACACUCUGACCCUCCUCCCUGUCUCCCCGAGAGCAAGACAUAAAUCUCUCAGGAGGCAGGACACCCUUACUGCCAGAAACAGGGUGUUCAGGGCCAAGAGUCUGUAUAAUCAAACCUGCUACUUCUGUAACUUACCACCCCAAACCCAAACUCCGUUUAGAUUCUUCCCUAAUUAAGCACCCAAAGCCUCAGCUCCUCUGUCCUGUCAGUUCCUCACAAAUUUACCAUUUCUUUAUCCAAAAAAUAUAAAAGCUGCCUCUUUUGGCCACUUCUUAGGUCCCAUUUCUAUGAGACCUCCUGGAGUACGAAUUAAAAUUUGCUUCUUUUUCUCCUGUU
This is a long non-coding RNA of Camelus dromedarius (Arabian camel), 2007 nucleotides long. RefSeq lists it as uncharacterized. The transcript is spliced from 2 exons. NCBI's taxonomy places the organism in Eukaryota, Metazoa, Chordata, Mammalia, Artiodactyla, Camelidae. The record is from RefSeq and is a predicted model, not a curated record.